AGUCACUGACAUUAGAUACCCGGGUAGUCCAGGGUGUAAACGCUGCAGACUUGGUGUUGGAGGCCCUUUGGGGGCAUUCAGUGCCGGAGAGAAGUUGUUAAGUCUGCUACUUGGGAGUACGUCCGCAAGGAUGAAACUUAAAGGAAUUGGCGGGGGAGCACCGCAACGGGAGGAGCGUGCGGUUUAAUUGGAUUCAACACCGUAAAACUCACCAGGGAAGACUGUUACAUGAAGGCCGAGAUGAAGACUCUGCUAGAUUUCAG
This 263-nucleotide ribosomal RNA is filed under the name uncultured archaeon. RNAcentral describes it as "partial 16S ribosomal RNA". It matches the Rfam family "Archaeal small subunit ribosomal RNA", at positions 719 to 982 of the family's 1478-position model. The record is from RNAcentral.